AGCGAACGCUGGCGGCAGGCCUACACAUGCAAGUCGAACGAACUCUUCGGAGUUAGUGGCGGACGGGUGAGUAACACGUGGGAACGUGCCUUUAGGUUCGGAAUAACUCAGGGAAACUUGUGCUAAUACCGAAUGUGCCCUUCGGGGGAAAGAUUUAUCGCCUUUAGAGCGGCCCGCGUCUGAUUAGCUAGUUGGUGAGGUAAAGGCUCACCAAGGCGACGAUCAGUAGCUGGUCUGAGAGGAUGAUCAGCCACAUUGGGACUGAGACACGGCCCAAACUCCUACGGGAGGCAGCAGUGGGGAAUCUUGCGCAAUGGGCGAAAGCCUGACGCAGCCAUGCCGCGUGAAUGAUGAAGGUCUUAGGAUUGUAAAAUUCUUUCACCGGGGACGAUAAUGACGGUACCCGGAGAAGAAGCCCCGGCUAACUUCGUG
RNAcentral lists this ribosomal RNA (432 nucleotides) under uncultured bacterium. RNAcentral describes it as "partial 16S ribosomal RNA". It matches the Rfam family "Bacterial small subunit ribosomal RNA", at positions 29 to 507 of the family's 1533-position model. The record is from RNAcentral.